GAUGAACGCUGGCGGCGUGCCUAAUACAUGCAAGUCGAGCGAACAGAUGAGGAGCUUGCUCCUCUGACGUUAGCGGCGGACGGGUGAGUAACACGUGGAUAACCUACCUAUAAGACUGGGAUAACUUCGGGAAACCGGAGCUAAUACCGGAUAAUAUAUUGAACCGCAUGGUUCAAUAGUGAAAGACGGUUUUGCUGUCACUUAUAGAUGGAUCCGCGCCGCAUUAGCUAGUUGGUAAGGUAACGGCUUACCAAGGCAACGAUGCGUAGCCGACCUGAGAGGGUGAUCGGCCACACUGGAACUGAGACACGGUCCAGACUCCUACGGGAGGCAGCCGUAGGGAAUAUUCCGCAAUGGGCGAAAGCCUGACGGAGCAACGCCGCGUGAGUGAUGAAGGUCUUCGGAUCGUAAAACUCUGUUAUUAGGGAAGAACAAAUGUGUAAGUAACUAUGCACGUCUUGACGGUACCUAAUCAGAAAGCCACGGCUAACUACGUG
This 497-nucleotide ribosomal RNA is filed under the name uncultured bacterium. RNAcentral describes it as "partial 16S ribosomal RNA". It matches the Rfam family "Bacterial small subunit ribosomal RNA", at positions 28 to 507 of the family's 1533-position model. The record is from RNAcentral.